CUAAGGUCCCAAAGUCAUGGUUAAGUGGGAAACGAUGUGGGAAGGCCCAGACAGCCAGGAUGUUGGCUUAGAAGCAGCCAUCAUUUAAAGAAAGCGUAAUAGCUCACUGGUCGAGUCGGCCUGCGCGGAAGAUGUAACGGGGCUAAACCAUGCACCGAAGCUGCGGCAGCGACACUGUGUGUUGUUGGGUAGGGGAGCGUUCUGUAAGCCUGUGAAGGUGUGUCGUGAGGCAUGCUGGAGGUAUCAGAAGUGCGAAUGCUGACAUAAGUAACGAUAAAGCGGGUGAAAAGCCCGCUCGCCGGAAGACCAAGGGUUCCUGUCCAACGUUAAUCGGGGCAGGGUGAGUCGACCCC
This 353-nucleotide ribosomal RNA is filed under the name Salmonella enterica subsp. enterica serovar Newport. Its description in RNAcentral is "bacterial LSU rRNA". It matches the Rfam family "Bacterial large subunit ribosomal RNA", at positions 1039 to 1391 of the family's 2925-position model. Lineage: Bacteria; Pseudomonadati; Pseudomonadota; Gammaproteobacteria; Enterobacterales; Enterobacteriaceae. The record is from RNAcentral.